This 237-nucleotide long non-coding RNA is filed under the name Physcomitrium patens. Its description in RNAcentral is "long non-coding RNA (PPAT_LNC000399)". Lineage: Eukaryota; Viridiplantae; Streptophyta; Bryopsida; Funariales; Funariaceae. The record is from RNAcentral.
AAAUCUAAGAAACCCUCUUUGGACCUAAAACUCUACUUCUCGAGAUUCUAACCCAUUUAAACCUCAAUAAUCCUUGAUCCACCCUUUUGAUUAAGCUAAAACUCACAACAUAUAUUGAACACAUAUGUACCCACAAACUCUUAAAAUUUCACUUAUAGAUCUAAUGCCAAACUUACAAAAUUCUCCAAAAAUUAUCACCUACUUUAUUUUACAAAUCUAGAGUCACCCAAAACAAAU